UCUAAUUUCAGGAUUGUGCAAAGGAAGGCAUACAUAAGCAAGAGCAAGCCUUGGCCUACCUUGAAACAAAGGUGAAGAGGUUCAGUUUUGCUGGUGCUUCAUCUGAGAAUGACGGUAGAGUAAUGACUGUUCUUCAAGAUGUGUUUCUUGCUAAUGUUGAGGUGUGUCAGGACAAUUUUCGUCCAAAAUGCAUAUAUGUUGCUGUCAUGUUGAGAAGGAUAAUGGAUGCAAUUUUAAACAAGGAUGCAAUGGAUGACAAGGUAGUUAA
Molecule: non-coding RNA, 268 nt
Organism: Prunus avium (sweet cherry)
Lineage: Eukaryota; Viridiplantae; Streptophyta; Magnoliopsida; Rosales; Rosaceae
Source: RefSeq, a predicted model, not a curated record